GUGGGGAAUCUUCCGCAAUGGACGAAAGUCUGACGGAGCAACGCCGCGUGAGUGAUGAAGGUCUUCGGAUUGUAAAGCUCUGUUAAUCGGGACGAAAGAGCCUAGUGUGAAUAAUGCUAGGAAGUGACGGUACCGGAAUAGAAAGCCACGGCUAACUACGUGCCAGCAGCCGCGGUAAUACGUAGGUGGCAAGCGUUGUCCGGAAUUAUUGGGCGUAAAGCGCGCGCAGGCGGAUCUGCCAGUCUGUCUUAAAAGUUCGGGGCUUAACCCCGUGAUGGGAUGGAAACUACAGAUCCAGAGUAUCGGAGAGGAAAGUGGAAUUCCUAGUGUAGCGGUGAAAUGCGUAGAUAUUAGGAAGAACACCAGUGGCGAAGGCGACUUUCUGGACGAAAACUGACGCUGAGGCGCGAAAGCCAGGGGAGCGAACGGGAUUAGAAACCCCGGUAGUCC
Molecule: ribosomal RNA, 450 nt
Filed under: uncultured bacterium
Lineage: Bacteria
Description: partial 16S ribosomal RNA
Rfam family: Bacterial small subunit ribosomal RNA
Source: RNAcentral